ACAUACGACCACAGGGUGUGGAAAAUAGGGCUUCCCAUCCACUCAGCUGUACUCAAGCCACACGCUGGGAGAUUAAUAGUUGGGUAGGCAAUUACCAGUAAAUCCCUUCUAUUAUAUAUU
RNAcentral lists this ribosomal RNA (120 nucleotides) under Aspergillus brasiliensis. The record is from RNAcentral. Lineage: Eukaryota; Fungi; Ascomycota; Eurotiomycetes; Eurotiales; Aspergillaceae.